GGGCCAUAGCUCAGUGGUAGAACGCCUGUUUUGCAUGCAGAUGGUCCCAGGUUCAAUCCCCAGCAUCUCCA
Molecule: non-coding RNA, 71 nt
Organism: Podarcis lilfordi (Lilford's wall lizard)
Lineage: Eukaryota; Metazoa; Chordata; Lepidosauria; Squamata; Lacertidae
Source: the annotation of a GenBank genome assembly